AAAUAAUUAUAAGAGCUGUACUUCUUGAUAUCAAUGCAUAUGUUCUUCAACUCAUGGCAGCAGCCAUGGAAAUUCAAUUGGAAUGGUCGUAACUUAUAAGUUAAAGUCUUAAGCCUAUCACAAGUACAGAUCAUCAUCAGAUGACGAAUCUCUAAAGUUGAAGAUAUCUACUUGGUAGUCUAAACCUCAAAGGAGCUUAGGGAAGUGAUGGCAGUUGCAGGGUAUGAACCAGACGACCAUGCAGAGACCAACGAGGCGACCAAACAGUCCAUCGUGCAUACCACAUAACCAGGUCCAGAAUGCCAGUUUUCUUUAAGGGCAGCUGACAAUAAGAAUUGUCUAUGUAUGCACUACAGAUGCUGUUCAAUAUCUUUUCAUGAGGAAGCCUGCUCAAAAAGAUCGCCACAUUUUCUUUAGGGGAAGUUGACAUUAAUCUUUUAGGUUAAUAAUAACCUAUGCAUGCAGUACAGAUGCUGUUCAUCUUUUCAUAAGCAAGCCUGCUCAAGAAGCUGCUGCAUGGAAGUCAAAAUAUGAAUUAUUGCCACCAGUCUUGAAGUCAGCUUGUAAAGAAUGCUAAGAAUUGAAUGAAAAUGCUGUCUUGAUAUCUUGUUUGUGCUGUUAUGUAUGUCUUUUGUGUUGGUUAAUUAUUCCAUGAAUAAAAAAUAAAAAAAAGUUAAUUGUGUAAGUUUGAUUUAAGAAUAAAUGAUCAGAGCAUGCAAGUCUUAUAUAGUACGUUACCAAAAAUUGUAUUGUUUGAUAGUGUUCAAACCCAAAAAUGUAAUUUAACUUGUCUAUUACUUUAUAAAUAUGUUGACAUUAUAGCUAGAUGUAUAUAGAAAUCAUGCACUGAUUCAAUUAUUAUAAUUUCCAAACAAUUAUGUCAAAUAAUUCUAUUGCUAGAUCUAAAUCAUCAGUGUGAAAGUAGACCUAUGUAAAAGGUUAAAAAUCUCAUACUAAACCAUUGAGCUGCAUUUGAACAAAAAGGGCAUUAUAAACAAAAAAUCACUAAUGAAUUUGUUUUAAACUACAGUAUUGAAAAACAUUAAAGAUUAUUCCUAAUUAAGCCAUAAUAAAAUUUAAUGACUGAACCAUCGGAGACAGUAUUUGCAUGAUAAUACCUAAUUGAGCCCUAAUAAAUAUUUCAGUUACUAAACCAUUAGGGCCAGCAUUGGACCGAUAAUGGCACAAUAAGGGUUAUCCCUAAUUGAACCCUAAUUAAUAUUUCAAUUACUAAACCAUUAGGGCCAGCAUUGGACCGAUAAUGGCACAAUAAGGGAUAUCCCUAAUUGAACCCUAAUAAAUAUUUCAGUUACUAAACCAUUAGGGCCAGCAUCGGACCGAUAUUGGCACAAUAAGGGUUAUCCCUAAUUGAACCCUAAUUAAUAUUUCAAUUACUAAACCAUUAGGGCCAGCAUUGGACCGAUAAUGGCACAAUAAGGGUUAUCCCUAAUUGAACCCUAAUAAAUAUUUCAGUUACUAAACCAUUCAGGCCAGCAUCGGACCGAUAUUGGCACAAUAAGGGUUAUCCCUAAUUAAACCCCAAUGAAAAUCUCAGUUACUAAACCAUUGGGGCUAGUAUGGGCUUGAUUAGGGCGCGAUUCUGGAAAUCCCCAAUGAAUCCGGAAGUGGGUUUACCCAUUCUGGGCCGAUAUUGGCACGAUUAGGGUAGCCCGUAUUGGUCCCUUAUGGGAACCUAAUGACGCCAAUGUGCAAACGGUAUGCGCGCCCAUUAGGGCGCGAUUUGGGCUAUUUAGGGCUGCAAUUAGGGCAAAGGGGGAUAACCCUAAUUAAAACUGAUACUGGGCCGUAAUGGGCAUGUUUAUAGGGCAAGCUUGGAUUCUAAA
This is a long non-coding RNA of Biomphalaria glabrata, 1844 nucleotides long. RefSeq lists it as uncharacterized. The transcript is spliced from 5 exons. The record is from RefSeq and is a predicted model, not a curated record. Lineage: Eukaryota; Metazoa; Mollusca; Gastropoda; Planorbidae.